This 73-nucleotide transfer RNA is filed under the name Hofstenia miamia. RNAcentral describes it as "tRNA-Met for anticodon CAU". It matches the Rfam family "tRNA". From Rfam's summary of the family: Transfer RNA (tRNA) molecules are approximately 80 nucleotides in length. The record is from RNAcentral. Lineage: Eukaryota; Metazoa; Xenacoelomorpha; Acoela; Hofsteniidae.
GCCUCCUUGGUGCAGUUGGAAGCGUGGAAGUCUCAUAAUCUUGAUUUUGUGAGUUUGAUCCUCACACGGGGCA